UGAUGACAUCUCGACCGUGUUGAGUAA
This 27-nucleotide small RNA is filed under the name Bombyx mori (domestic silkworm). RNAcentral describes it as "ovarian small RNA-32784". The record is from RNAcentral. Lineage: Eukaryota; Metazoa; Arthropoda; Insecta; Lepidoptera; Bombycidae.